RNAcentral lists this non-coding RNA (613 nucleotides) under Linnemannia elongata AG-77. RNAcentral's name for it is "Mortierella elongata AG-77 Eukaryotic large subunit ribosomal RNA". It matches the Rfam family "Eukaryotic large subunit ribosomal RNA", at positions 2785 to 3399 of the family's 3401-position model. The record is from Rfam by way of RNAcentral. Lineage: Eukaryota; Fungi; Mortierellomycota; Mortierellomycetes; Mortierellales; Mortierellaceae.
CAAAAUGAGCGAGUAAGGAACGAAUAAAGAAGAGCAGGAUGAUUCGAAUUUAUUACAGCACCUGGCUCAAAGCGACGUUGCUUUUUGAUCCUUCAAUGUCGACUCUUCCUAUCAUACUGAAGCAGAAUUCAGUACGCGUGGGAUUGUUAACCCACUAAUAGGGAACAAGACCUGGGGUUUAGACCGUCGUGAGGCAGGUUAGUUUUACCCUACUGAUGAAAAUUGUAGCAAUAGUAAUUGGACUUAGUACGAGAGGAACCGUUCAUUCGGAUAAUUGGUAUUUGGGCCCGCCUGAGCAGGCAAUAGCCCAAAGCUAUCAUCCAUUGGGUUAUGGCUGAACGCAUCUUUGUCAGAACCCGUGCUAGAACGCGACGACUACCGCCUUUUUCGAUUUUUAGUUGAAUACGAAUAGAUCUUCGGAUCCUGCAUCAUACUACAAGGGGUUGAUAUUGCAGAGUGGAAAGACUUUGUGAGGUUCCUCCUAAUGUUAGUUUCAAAUAUUGGAAGAGAUAAAUCCAUUGCAGACGACUUUAAUUGAACGGGAGCAGUGUAAGCAAUAGAGCAGCCUUGUUGCUACGAUCUGCCGAGAUUAAGCCCAUUGUUCUACAGAUUU